RNAcentral lists this long non-coding RNA (26876 nucleotides) under Ananas comosus (pineapple). RNAcentral describes it as "long non-coding RNA (ACOM_LNC028577)". Lineage: Eukaryota; Viridiplantae; Streptophyta; Magnoliopsida; Poales; Bromeliaceae. The record is from RNAcentral.
AUCAUUUGGCUUUCCUGAAAAUUUAUUUGUUGUUUCUUUCUAUGCCCCAUAUGUAAUCUAACAACCACAUAAAAAUUCAAUAAACUAUAUAUAAUCUUAACAACCUGAAAAUUUUAAUAAUCUAUUCAUAUAAUUUCAUAUAAUUUUAAUAGCUUGUAAAUCUUAAUAAUCUAUUCAUAUAAUUUCAUAUAAGUUUAACCGUCUAAAAAUUCUAAUAAUCUAUCCAUAUAAUUCCAUAUAAUCUUAACAACUGAAAAUUCUAAUAAUCUAUCUAUACAAUCCUAACAAUCAAAUAAAAAUUUUAAUAAUCCACAUAUAAUCCUUACAACUUCACUUGUUUCUAUUUUUUAUAUAAUUCAUACACAAUUUGAACUAAUGAAUACGGCAAACGAUUCACCGCCUUUAGAAGAUAUGGGAUAAUGCGAUGAACGAUUCACCGCAUUUAAAAGAUAUAGGAAAAUACGGUGAACAAUUAACCGCCUUUCGAAAAAAAUCCCAUAUGCCUCCUACGUGGCGAAGAAAGGGUUAAUUUGUCAAAUAUAAAUUGGCAGAGUUAUUUUGCAAAUUAUAAAAUUUUAAAGAAUUAUUUUGUAAAAAAUUCCUCUUAUUUGCUACAUGGACAUUUUGGUGAUCAUGACAAGUCUGUCCUUUUUCCACAUUCAUUCUCUCUCCCUCUCUCUCUCUCUCUCUCUCUCUCUCUCACACACACACACACACACACACACACACACACACACACACAAACAGUAAAGACUCUGCAGUGUGGGAACUUUGCUAGAAAUUCACAUAUUUUGAUUACUCCCACGUAUAGUAGUGUUUGCUGAGAGGAAGGUAUCAUGAUAUUUUUGCUUCAUUCAUUUUUUUAUAUAUAAAUAAACUUAGCUAUAAUUAUGUAGUAACUAAAUUUUGAACUUGGGAUCUCAAAUAUCAAUCAUCAAAUUCCUUACAACUUGCACUCGGAAUGAUCAGUGUCUCACAUAUAAUAGCAAUUAGAGAAAUUAGUGGCACAUAUGUACUAAUAAGUCCAAUCUUCUAGGCUGUUAAGUUUUGGCAUUUGAUGAAUUUCAACAGAUAUGUCACAUAAUUUAUUUAAAAAUAUUAGUUAGUCAUCAUAUAAUUCUGUAUAAGUCCCUCAAUUUUAAAAACUCUAUAUUAAAUUUCCACCACCAUGUAAUAACACAACUUUCCCUAUCAGUGUGAUUUAAUCUAGAGAGAGAGAGAGAGAGAGAGAGAGAGAGGGAGAUCAAUUCCACUCAUCUAAACAAAGGAAACAAAUUAAGGAAAAUGAGUCAUCAUGUGCUCAGGUCCCUCCAAAGCCAUGGGAUCUCAUGAGGAAGCAAUUCAUGGCUGUGCUUGCCCCUCAAUAUUACCUACUCAUAAGAAAAAGAAAGAGGAAGAAGAAGAAUGUGACAUGGCUCAUAGAACAGUGUAUGUGGAUGAUGAUGAUUGAUCAUGAUGAUUAUGAUGAUGAGUUGAGCAAGCAAUCCAAGCAUAUAAUUUAUAUGUGGCCUAAAAGUGCUUUGUCCUACUGUAGCAAAACUCACAUGGUGAUUUUGUGUUGUUUUUUUGGUGCCAUGUGGCCAAUGUGGCACUGCUCCUACACUAGAUUUUAAUUAUUGGACCCAACUUUGUGGCUCUUGUUAAUUAGAGUUAGUACAUAAAUAUGUUGCAUUAGCUUGGCCACAUUUUUAAGCUUUAUUGUGGCUUUCCUUUUUUUAAAAAAAAUUCAUUUAAACUGUAGCUAAUUAAGAUGGAUUCCUAAUUUGUGUUGGGAAUAGCUAAGAAGAAGUACUCACUUUCACCACAAAAAACAAAAAAAAAAAAAAAAAAANAAUUUUUGAAAUAAUAAUAGUAAUAAUAAAUUUUAAAACCCAUUUUUUUCAUAAUACACAGAUAAUUUUUUACACACAAAUUAAAUUUUCAAAAUUUUAUACAUAAUAAUCGUAUUUUAUUUGGGACAUCGUGGCUCGUCCACAGCCGUAAACGUGGCAUGCGUGCCCAUCAAACACGUAACCCUUCCUCGUCUUUUGUACACGUGGCGCCAUCCUGUGGCCCCUAAUGCGUCGGAUGCGGUGGGCGCGUGUACGCGUCGCACGUGCCUUCGUUCGCGCCAAAACGUGUGGCCCCUGUUGACUCGACUUGCUUCAAUUCUUCGGUACUAUUUUGUCGCGUAUUUACGAAAUGACUAUUUUGCCCUCAUUAACCAAUCUCCGGUGUCGUGGGCAUUUUGGUCAUUUCGCUGGAGCAGCGGUAACGAAGCGCCACAUGUUAACAGUGGGUUGGUGGGUGGUGACGCUUGCGCUAGAGAUAUUUUUUCUCCAUGUUGUGGUUAACAACGCUUCUAAACUAAACUCCGUUACUUACGUGGGUCCCUUUUUUUUUUUUUAGGGUAAACUUCAAAUAUCACUCUGUGGUUUCGCACUUUCUCACUUUAGUACAAUAUAGUUUAAAGUGUACCAAGUUAAUGUCAUGUGGUUUCAUUUUAUAUCUUUUCGUCAGUUUCUCUAUUAAUAUUUCGUUAAAUUAUAUACAACAAGCUUCAGAUACUUCACCUAAAUUUAUCGAAUAUNAAAAAAAAAAAAAUUAUUGCAUGCGUUGAGCAUAUAAAUAUAUUGCACACACUAAAUUUUUAAAAUUUUUAUUAUGAAUAUUUUAAAAAUUACAAUUUUUGAAAUAAUAAUAGUAAUAAUAAAUUUUAAAACCCAUUUUUUUCAUAAUACACAGAUAAUUUUUUACACACAAAUUAAAUUUUCAAAAUUUUAUACAUAAUAAUCGUAUUUUAUUUGGGACGUCGUGGCAAGUCCACAGCCGUAAAUGUGGCACAUGUGCCCAUCAAACACGUAACCCUUCCUCGUCUUUUGUACACGUGGCGCCAUCCUGUGGCCCCCAAUGCGUCGAACGCGGUGGGCGCAUGUACGCGUCGCACGCGCCUUCGUUCGCGCCAAAACGUGUGGCCCCUGUUGACUCGACUCUCUUCAAUUCCUCGGUACUAUUUCGUCGCGUAUUUACAAAAUGACUAUUUUGCCCUCGUUAACUAAUCUCCGGUGUCGUGGGCAUUUUGGUCAUUUCGCUGGAGCAGCUGUAACGAUGCGCCACAUGUUAACAGUGGGUUGGUGGGUGGUGACGCUUGCGGUGGAGAUAUUUUUUCUCCAUGUUGUGGUUAACAACGCUUCUAAACUAAACUCCGUUACUUACGUGGGUCCCUUUUUUUUUUUUAGGGUAAACUUCAAAUAUCACCCUGUGAUUUCGUACUUUCUCACUUUAGUACAAUAUAGUUUAGAGUGUAUCAAGUUAAUGUUAUGUGGUUUCAUUUUGUAUCUUUUCGUCAGUUUCUUUAUUAAUAUUUCGUUAAAUUAUAUACAACAAACUUCAGAUACUUCAUCUAAAUUUAUCGAAUAUUUACUUUAGUACUAUUUAGUUUUAACUUUGUCACUGAUUUAACGAAAAAUAAAAUAAAAAUAAAAUAAAAUCACAUAGCACUAAAUUAAUACACUUUAAAUCACAAAAUAUUAAAGUGAGAAACUGCGAAACUAUAAGAAUAGUAUUUGAAGUUUUUUUUUUUGAAAACUUAAAAUACGGCACUGAUCAUUCUUAAUUAUAUUAAAUAUUUAAUUUAUAUACGGUUUUAUAUAUUAAUUUUUUUAAAAAAUAAAAAAUAUAUAUAUUAUUUGAUUUAGGUUCCACCACUUAAUCAGAUGAUGUUGGCGAUGAUUUUGUUGUCGCGUUAUCUUUACGCAAUCCGAUUUGACUACUGUACUAUCAACACAUCAUCAUAUCAAAAAUCAAUAAUAUUAUUAUCAAUAUGUAUUUUUAGAUUCGUUUUCUAUCAAAUCAAUCUUUGAAUAAAUAUGUAUAGUUUUAAUUCUAAAAAAUAAGAACCCACAUAAUCUAGUCUGAAUCGGUUAUCUAAUUUUUCAAAAAUUUAAUUAUUCUAUCUAAGUUUUCAAUUUGUUUGAUUUUAGUCUGUCAACGAUACUUUUAUUUUAAAAUUUGAAUACAGAUUUAGUCGGUUUAUUUUAUGCAGUUCUCGCAACAGAAAACUUAUUAAAGUUAUUAACUUUAAUUUUGAAGUUAAAGUACUGUUCACUAACUCAAAUGCGAACAAAUUGAAAGAUUUGAUUGUAAAAUUUAAAUUUUGAAUUGUUGAAUAACUAAUUUAAAAUGAUCUAUAAUUCAAAUAAAUUUUAUACAUUUUGAUCAUUCUGAAAUUCUUUCAUCCUGUAAUUCAGAUAAUUCAGCCUCAUUUUUCAAGGAAAAAAUCCAACCAAGAAGAAAAUAAAAAGAAAGUAGGAAUUUCCUCUUAUUGAUAUUCAACUUUUUUAAUUUAUUUGAUUUGAGCCGGUCACCGGUAUUUUUAUUUCAAAAUUUAAAUAUAGAGUUAGUUAAUUUAUUUUAUGCAGUUCUCGUAAUUAUAAAUUUAUUAAAGUGAGUUAUUAAUUUUAGCUUUGAAGUCAAAGUACUGUGUUCACUUACUCAAAUUUAAUAAAAUUGAAAGAUAAAAUUAAAAUUAAAAAAUAUUAGAUAACUAAUUUAAAAUUAUUCAUAAUUCAGAUAAAUUUUAUAAGUCUUUAUCACUCUAAAAAUCUUUCAUUACGUAAGAUAGUGAAUUAAAUCCCCUGUAAUAAAUAUUCUGGUACCAAAAUAAAAUAAAAGGCCAAUACUUGGAUGAUAAAAUACACACAUAAUAAUAAUAAUAAUAUUAAUAAUAAAACCAAAAUAAGAGGACCAGUAACGCCCAAAUGAAGUAAAGAAGCACACGAAUUAAGAACCCAAGCCAACAAUAAAAAUACAAAUACAAAAUUAGAAAAAGAGAUUUAAAAAAUAAAAAUAAUAUUAGCAAUUUCGAGUGGGACGAGGUUUUGUGGACGAGGAGACUUAGGAGAGCCCUUCCACAUCCUCUUUCUCUCUCCUACCACUCUUUAUUAUUCUCUAAUAAUUAAAUUAAUACUUUUCUCAUAACUACCUAACUAUAAUAAUAAUUAAUUAAAGAUUGAAAAAUGUAAUGGACACCACAUCAACAACUAUAAGCUUUUCCAGGUUGAUCACCCAAUUUCUUUUUUCUACUCAUUUUAACCUCUAAGCCGAUUUGCAUAAAAAAAUUCACAAAUUUGGAGCUUUUGCAAAACUGGUCCGUCUUUUUCGAUUUUACAGAUUCGGUUCGAAUUUUCAACAAACCGAUCAAAAUACCCUUAUGUAUUUUACAAAAUCUCAAAACUUAUGAAUUUUUUAUGCAAAUUGGCCUACUUAAUUUUAGAUUUGGACAAAUAUAUAUUUAGUAGUUUUUCGAGUUUUUAAUUUAAAAAGAAGAGAUCAGGGGGAGCGUUUUGAAAAUUAUAUAUAGGUAAAGGGUCUUUGUGCGAUUUUACCUUCAAAUUAAACCAUAUAUAUAUAGAAGAUAUAUUUGUAUAGCAUUUAUUAGUGGGAUCGAACGGGUCUUCAUCUCUAACACCAUUCUCGCUACUCCUUCCACAGUUUAUAGAAAACCGCUCGCGGUUUUAUCAAAACCGCUCGCGGUUUUCUGAAAAUCGCUAAUCUCUCGUCGAAUUUUUAGCCCGUUAUCUCUCUUCUCUCCCUAUCCCUCUCCCCGUCCUUUCUAUCUAGACUAGAUAGUACGGUUUAUCUAGGGUUUCUCUUUUAUCUAGGGUUUCCUUUCUAGGGUUUUGUAGGAGGUGGGUAUGGGUAUGGGGAUGGGGAUGGGGAUGGGGAUGGGGAUGGGGAAGCGGUGCGAGCUCUGCGGGGGGAGCGCGGCGGUGUACUGCGACCCGGACGCGGCGUUCCUCUGCUGGGGCUGCGACGCCGCCGUGCACGGCGCCAACUUCCUCGCCGCGCGCCACCUCCGCCGCGCCGCCUGCGCCUCCCUCCACCCCGGCGUCCUCGUCUCCGGCCCCUCCGCCGCCGCCGCCGUCGCCGCCGCGUGCUGCUCCCUCUCCGCCGAGAGCUCCUGCGUCUCCGCCGCCGAGUCCGCCGCCGCUGCGCCGCCGCGGCGGAGGCGGCGGAGCGCGCCGGCGACGCGGACCCGCCGCGUGCGGCAGCGUAGAGCGCCGGCGCCGCCGCGGAGAUCCGCCGCGCUCCGCCGCGCCGGGGCGGGCUCGCGGGCCCCCGCGCGGCGGCGGAGGCGAACCGGACCGGUCGAGAAGGAGGAGGGAUGGGCCGAGUGCGCGUAGUGGCCGAACCGGCCCGGUUCGAGAAGUGUACGGAAUCAUCCUUAACUAUAGUACGUUUGGAAAUAGGUCCCUCAAGUUUAUUGACACCCCUUAGAAUGUAAUAUUUUCUUUCUUUUUUAUUUUUAUUUUUUUUGUUUGUAGUUUCUAAUUUGAGCGAGUGUAGUAAAGUAAGUUAAGUUAAUUUAAUAGCUCUACUCUAGUUAACUUUUAGCAAACAGGAUUAGUGUAGUUAAUAACAUACUAUCUUGUUAAUUUAACUAACUAAAAUUACUGAUAUGAAAAAAAAAUUAGCAAGGUAUGAGAGGUGUCAAUUGGAUAAUAUUAAAGUUUAAGGACCUAUUUCAAACUAGCCUAGAGUUUGGGUGUUUCUCAGUCAUUUUCUCCUGGUGUCAUCUUUCUCUAACUUUUAGCAGAGAAUGUUUUUUUUUUUUUUUUUUUUUUUUUUUUUGGCCUUUUCUUUUUCUAAAGUCUCAUGUUCAAGCUAUGAUGAAACUCUGUAAUGAGGUGGGACACUUGUGAGGAAUCAAAUAUGGACUUUGAUAUGAGUGAGUGAUUGUUCAAGUUGUUUGUGUGCAUCAAAUGGUUUGCAUGAUGAUGAGUUUAAACUUACUUAUGUUAUAUUAUUAUUAUACCAUUAAAUGCUUUAUUUUUGAGACUAAAAGGUGCUUGGAUAUAUAUGACAUGUGAUUCUUACUAUAAUAUAUGUCACAUUAGCUAUAUAUUAUUGAUCAUGGAUUCGAAUUGCUAUGUGCUUUUAUUGUAGAACACCAACAACUUGAGUGGUUCAAAACAUAAAGAAGAAAAGUUUUAGAGAUGUUGUUGGUUCAAAACAUAAAGAAGAAAAGUUUUAGAGAGAGAGAGAGAGAGAGAGAGAGAGAGAGAGGUGGGAAAUUCUUUGACAAUUUUCAGUUCAAAGGGUUGUUUUAGUCCAACCACUUGUUUGGAGUGUUGUGGUGCAUAAGAUGUGGGUCACAUUUAGUCACAUAAUAAGGCUAUAUUUAGGUGUCAAAAUUUGGGUGGGGUGAGUGGAUCCUUUGACCUAUAGGUGUCAAAAUUUGGGUGGGAUGAGUGGAUUCUUUGACUCCACCCUGUGAAAGAGAGAGAGAGAGAGAGAGAGAUGGAGGGUUCAAAACUUGACUUGACUCACAUGUUACAUUUAUGGAUCCAGCACUUGGAACAUUUUACCGACUAUUCCUAGCGCAAAUUAUAAAAGAUUAAAAGGUUCAGUGGUUGAUAUUUUACGUCUUAUGUUUGAAGUCUAGUUAUUUUAUAUUUUUAAAUAAGCUUAGUUUUUUUUAAAAAAAUAAAAUAAUUUCAAAUAAGCUUAGUUUUUUUAAAAAAAAUAAAUAAAACGGGUAAAAUACUACCUUUCUCUCUCUCAAAAAAAUAAAAGGAGAAAGAACAAUUUCAUAUUUUCAUGGCACAAUAUCAAUGAGACUAUUGUAAUAAGUUGAUAUAUGCCUAGGGAUGUAAAACAGGCCAGGGCAGGUUCAGCCGUCACUAUUGUUGGUAGUGUUCGGUUGCACUCGGCCAGCUUGCAGUUCAGCACAGGAUGGAGGGAUGCAAAUGGAUUCGGGUUGGUGGAGCUCCUGCCUCGAAUAGGAUAGUAAACGAGGAGAAAUAAACGGAUUCGGGACAAAAAAAGGGGUAAUUUUUAUAAUUCGAGACGGAUUCGGGAUAGAAAAUAGAAAAAAUUUUGAUCCUCCCCGAAUCCGCAAUGAAUCUGCUAUGAAAACGUAAAAAAUAUUUCUAAAUAAUUCAAAAUAAAAAAAAAGUUGGUGCUCAUUUCUCAUGUAUUUGAAACUUUUGAAUUUUGUUUCGAAUUGUGAUCGAUAUUUUUAAUUUUUAUGAUUAAUAUUGUUAAUUAUAUAUAUGUAUAACUUAGUAAUAUUAUUCAUUAUUAUUAAAAAAUAUUAAUUUAUAUUUUACAAAAUAUUAAUAAUAUUAUAUUUUUUAAAAAAUAUAUUAAUUGACUUAGCGAAUUCGGGACGCUGGCGGUAGUUGGGUUAUGAGGCCAGCCGGAUCAUGGAAUAUAUUUUUUUAACUCAUCACAGGUUCGGAGCAGGAGGUGGAGCGGAAUUUUGGUAGCCGGGGCGAGAGGCGGGGUGGGGCUCCUUCUCCCAGAUCAGAUCCGCCCCGUUUGCAUCCCUAACAGCACGGCAUGCGCCAUGGGUGCAAGAGAUGCUGGUCUACGGUUUGGUGGCCCAUGGCUCGACAUGGCACGGCCCAUAAUGCACCCUCAUAUGUGCCCCAAGUUGUUAAAGCCCGUGGAAUUGUUUACCGCCUCACGAAGUUAUACUUUAUAAUUUCGAGCUCAAAUUUUUUUUACUGUUGUACGACACUAACAGAAGUUUGAACCUUUGACCUCAAAAAAUACUAUUACGUGUUAAAGUAGAUGAUGUAAAUACAGGAGUAUCUUACUUUUGACUUUAAAAGGAUGUAUGCUCCUCUAAGAGAUAAAACCCCACUAAAGAAGAAAUAGUAAAAUACCUUUAACUGCUGCAGUAUCAGAGUUUUGUUCACACUUUUUCAGUUCACACAUCAGCAUGAAAGAUAACUUGUUUUGAUUAACCUAUAUUGUAGCCAUUAACACUUUUUCCGAAUCUUUUACACUUGAUUACACAUACCUAGAAUCUAACCUGACCAAUGAGAUUAUACAUUUACAUACAAGCUUUCAGAACCUUAAACAGUCUCAAUUAACAUGUUAGUAGGAAGAAUUCUGGGAGUAAAUUACUCUAUUCUGAUUACAGUAUGUUUUCAGAUAUAAGUUCUGACACGAAAUUCUCCAACUUUUCCCCCGACGGUCCUCGUUCGACUGUAUCAAUAUCGCUCCAACUCGAGCAUCGAUCAUUCGAAUCUUCUGUCUUCUGAUCAUCUGCGAAGCCCGCGCACCAUUUUCCUGGAACAACGCCGCUCGACGGUCUUUCGAGUACGUCCUCGUCGAUCUUCUGCAGCAGUGCAUCAUUUUCUCUGAACCAAGUACCAAAUGCUGAUCCACUGUUUAUCAUUGCUGCAUAAUGUGAUUGAUUGAGACUGAUGGGUUCUGCGGCCGAAGGCCGCUCCCCGAGAGUGUACCACAAAUUGUUGUUGAUUGUGGUGUUUCGGAAUCUCAGGGAGUUGAGUACUACUGUUUGGAAGUAGGAUUCCAUUGGAUGAAUCACAUUGGUGAAGUAUAAGAGCAGUUUCCUCGGUAGGUUGUCCCAUGAAAACACACAAUGCUCCAUCAAUGAUCUGCUUAGUAUCAUCCAGGGGGACCCUGUCGCAUUUCGCGGAAUUUCAAAUUGACAUGCAAUUAGAGGCUUUUACUUUACUUCUCUGACAAAUAGAUAAGCUACUAAAUGCAGCAAAUGCAUUCAUGUCAACUUAGUAUAUUGAGAUGGAUCUAGCUUUCCUGGAGAUUUUGAUAUUCUAUCCGAAGUUAUAUCGAUAAAAGUCGACUCUGUGACGGUUAAUUGGUCGUGAACUCGCUGUCAAAUUUUGCUCAGCCCUCAAUCUUUGAUUGUUAAGCAUUUUUUUGCUCCGCGAAAUUACUUUUUAUGUUUUGAAGUAGUCCUCUUCCAUCAAGAACAUGUUCGCGUGACACUGACGCCUUUUCUCAUUAUGAAGAAAUCGACAUGACUACUAAGUGUCUGAGAUCUCAAUUAUUCCACAAACUGGAUUUGACAGAGACUGCAAUGAAACAUGAUCUACUUUCGGUUCGCAAAAUUCUUAAAUUUAAUGAUUGAGAACUAAAGUGACCGCGAAUGAUAAAUGAUUCAACUAAGAUAUGGCAUGUCCUUACCAGUAAAUAUCUCGAAAGCAUCAGGUGCUGUUCGCAACUCCGAGGAGUAAAAGAGCUGAGAUCUUUUGUUCUCAUAAAGACUCGGGUCCACAAUUACAUUUUGAAUAUUUUGGUUCCUGUAUAAACAAUUAUGCUUUUAAUAAACAACUUGAUCAAAAUUUAAGGAACCAGUACUUACUAAUUGUUCCUUACAUUUUGUUUUCAGGAUUCAUUGCAUGUUCAAUGAAGUUCAAAUCUCGCGGCAAAGAUGAGAAUACAUGUAACAGAUCUGCACCAGAAAUACUCCAUUAGCAUUAAAAGAAGUGAGUGAUUAAGGAGCAGAGAAAAGAAGAUUCAUUUGUUUCUUUUGUCAAUUUCUUUCUAACCAUCCUGCGUUACGAGGGGAUAAUCCGAAGUACUCAAUUUGAUAAACCAAUCCCAGGCGGCGCCAAUCUUCAGCAGAACAGCAGCUGCAUGAAGCAUUGCAGAAACUGAAGACGGACCUGUUCUGUCGAUCGGAUAAGCUCUGCCCAUCACAUGAACAUUCCCGAAAGCUCGAAACACUCUUUCUGAUCUUACUAAAUACGCGAGCCUUACCCUCUCAUAGGUCGUCGAUCCUGCAUCUAGCUGCAGAAGGUACUGGUUUCUGGGAUGGUAUACUGCUUUCAGCAGCCGCAGAAUUCUCAGGUGCUCGCCUCGGGUGCCAGUAAUCCAAUAAGCGAAGAUCGGGGGAUACUCGGGUCCUGUUAAUGGAGCUCUGACGCUUUCUUCGAACUCCACUUCAGUGCUGCUGCUGCAAUUGCCCUGGUAAAGAAAUGAACCUGCGAAGGAGCUGAGCACGACCGUGCUCACCGCAAAAAGAGCAACUACAGGCCAAGGUGAGCAUCUUGAGCACAACUUAUGAUUCAUCUUCUCCUUGAAUUUUGAAUUUUAUCUCAGAAACAGAUUUGCAGAGUUACGCUGUAACAGAAGUUGCAGAAGUUGCUGAAAUGUUCUUUGUUUCUGAACAGAAACUGUUGCAGCAUCUUUGACCUGAAAAAAAAAAAUGUAAUCAAACUCUAGUUAUUAAGUACAUAAAAAAAGAAUGUGAGUCAAGAUUUAGACAGUUAGAAUCUGAAAGAUUGAUAACAUAACGUAAUCGGUGACGUGUCGACAUUAAAUUACAAAUAAAAUAAGGUAGAUUGAUCCAAUUGAAGAGAAGGGACUGCAAUACCAAGAUUUUUAUUUUGGGACAGUGAGAUAGCAAGAGAAUGGCAUAAUUAUAUAAAAAUUGAAAGGAGCUGCAAACCUUUCCCAGUCUCUAUUGUCCCAUGAGUUGCUGCUCCCACAUAAGUUUCUUUGAAGAUCUAAUUUUAGUACAGAUGGAUCUAUUGUGGCAUUUUAGCAUUUCUUUUUUCAUUAUUAUUAUUAUUAAAAUUCUGUAUAUUGGUUGGCAGGUUCACAGCAACCUGUUUCGGAAUGUCAAAGAUGCAUAGUGAGAAAAGCAGAAAAUGUUAAAGAAACAUGGGAGAGUAAGACAAAAUAUUUGCUAAUGUGUUUGUUUCAUUCACACCAUGAAUAUUAUUUUCUUAUUAAAUUAUGUCAUAUGUCAUAGGAUGCCAAAGGUAAGAAUAAUUUCAUAAAUAAUGUGUUUCUUAAGACUAAAAUACUGGUUCAUAGGGUAUAUGGUAUGUGUGAAAUGAAAUGAAAUAGUCGUUAUUUACUAAUAGUUUAAGCUGCUCAAUACGUGGAGCUGAAUUAAAUGGGAGAAACUAAACGAAGCAAAGAGCCUGACGGAACUUAAACUUAGAAUUUCUUACUUUGAUAUUAUGUUAAAGAAGAUGAAGCAACCGUUAUCCUCCAAUAACUUAAAACAACAAAAGAACAGUAUUUUUAAUAUUUAUAUUCAGUAUUAUGUUUAUGCUUCGUAAUUCUGUAACAAACAAUCUGGAUAAAGAGUGAAUCACACACCUAACCAAAUUGUCUCAACCAGAACUCAUUGAGGAGCUUCUCAACAAAGUCGUAUUCGUCCAAUACACUGUUCAGAUUCGAAUGAGAAACUUCUCGAUUGGAAUAGCUCUUUAGUACUUCAUCAGUACUGUCUCAACAAGACCUCUCGUUGAGGAGCUCCUCAAUAAAGUCUUGCUCGUCUGAUACAAUGUACAGAUUUGAAAGAAAAACUUUUAGACUAGAAUAAAUCUUUAAUACUCAUAUGCAGAACGAAUCUACAACACCACUCGCUAAACUAUGUCAAUGAAAGCUCAUUGAGAAGCUCCUCAACGAAGUCGUGCUUCUCCCAAAAUAGAUCAAAUUUUCCCAUGUAAUUGCUUUUCAAUUUGAUGGUGCAAUGUCCAUCUCCUUACUUUUGUUAUCAUUUACUAAAAAAGUAGAGACAAAAGAGAAGGUUUCCACAUAGUAAUACCUACACCAAAAGUUACACUUUUGCUUUGUUUUUUAUUAUCAAACUAAUUUGUUAGCUUCUUAUGUAAUUAUGAAGUCACCCAAUGAGGCUGUUGACAUGGAAACCACACCUACCAUACCAACCGGUAGGUUGAGGAUCACGCCAAUGUUAUGUUACCACCCAACAACAAAAACUUUCCAGAGUAAUUAUAAUUUUACAAUUUUUAUCAUCUAAACUCCAUCUUAUUUCUAUACAUUUUAUCAGAGCUUUUUUUUGCAUUGAGCCCUCUCGGGGCCGGGGGGGAUGAUUGGCCUUAUCUUCGUCGCGCAAGUGCCACGUGAGCGUGAAAUCGGUUGAACACGGUGAACCAUUCACCACGUCCAACUUAAAUUUAUACAACUUAUAGAAAUGUAUAAUACAAUAAAUACGUUGAAUCAUUCACCGUGUUCAUCUUAACCUGGGCCACCAACCAUGCUCGCGUGUUCCUCGCGUGACGCUUAUGUGGCGAGAAUAGGACCAAUUUUAUAAAUAUAAAUUUUAUAAAACUAUUUCUGAAAAAAAAAUUUAUGAGAGAGCUAAAUACAAAAAAAAAAACCAUUUUAUCAUCAUCAUUAUUAUUAUUAUUAUUACUAAAAAUUCAAAAUGAUUGGAUAAAUACAACCCCUCGUAAUUCUCAAUUUUAAAUAACUAUCACACUUUAUAUUGUUUCAAUUAAUAGCCCCAACAAAUUUUAAAUAGCUAUCAAAUUUGAAUACACAUAAAUUUUUUUUUUUUAAAGAAGAGACAUAUUUUCCAAUUAGAUACCAACAUUAGUAGAUUUGUGAAUAGUCGAACCUAUAUCUACUAUUAAUUGUCCAAAGAAUUUAGAAGCAUUGCCUUAAUGAUUUCAUAAUUCAUGGCUUUUUUUUUUGUAUCUCACUAAAUUUGUUAUUUUUGAUGUCGUUAUAAUUUGUCUUAUUUGUAGGCACACAAAUUUAAUGGCUACAAAGUUUAUUUAUUCUCUUAAUUUAAAAUUUUAAAUUAUUUGUUCUAUCAAACGUGCUACCCGUUAGAAAUAAACAAAUCAUUUUUACUUAAAAAAUUUGUUGGAAAUUAAAUUAAUGAUCAGCAACGUGACCUUCACCUAACUUCUAGAAUGGAAUCAUUUCUCAUUCAACGUGCUGAGUUGAAUGAAAAAAAAAAAAAAAAAAAAUUAAAAAAAAAAAAAAAAAAAAAUCUAUCACAAGAUCAAAACAAGGCCAUUUUGCAUAGAAAACCAACCUUUUUUUAAUUUGUAUUCGUGUUUUCCUUUUUUUUCCCCCAUUUUUACACCCUUGGGUCACUAGAUUCUUUUUUUUUUUUAAUGUAAAAAUUUCUCACAAGAGUUGCAGUAGUUUUCUGCUUCAUAAAAAAAAAUUGGAGACACUAAAAUGGGUGCUUAGUGCUUAAUUUACAUGUUUAAACAAACCAAUUAAAGCAAAUUAAUUCAAAAUAAUAACUCCAAAUAAUUCGAAACAUUUUCAUAUACAUAAUAAUCACAAUCUCAAUGUAGUUUUCUUUGUAACACACCAUCCCCUCUACUGUAGUGAUUAAAACACAUCCUUUGUUACAAUAGUAUCAAAUAUUAAUAAACAAAAAUAUGAAAAAGAAAAAAAAAGACAAAUAGGACUAUACAAUCAAAACCUCAGGACAUAAUCACCACAUAUAAUUCCACACAUUUUUAAUGCCAAGAACCAAGAACCAUAUUUGAAAAAGCUUAACCAGUGUUUUCGACAUCAACUGCUAUUGCCAUGUAUAUGUUUAUACUGGUACGACAUCGAUCGUCGAAGUGUCUUCAGAUCUCAAUAUUAUCCCUUCGAGGCUCGCGGGAAGUAUACACUCAGCCCAUUGGCACCCUGUGGAGAGAGGCUCAGGGGGAGGAACUAUCAUCAGCACAUUUUCGUUCCUUCGCACGACCCCCAUUACACUAACUGUGCUCCCUUCCUUAAUGUACCUGAAAACGAAAAUAUGUAUAUACACAUUGUAACACAGUCAAGGAGACUACCUCCUAAUUAUAAAAUGGUUGUUGACUUCUUUAAGAUGAAUUGAUUUGUUUUUUUUCCCUUCUUUUGGCUUGAAAUUGAAAAUUUUAUCAUGUAAUUGAAGUUGUCUUAGUGCUUGCCAUGUUCUCCAAGCAGAAAAGGCGACUAUGGGAGGAAAUUUAAUAAAUGCAAUUAUGGUAUAGCUUGUAUAUUCAGAUGUUAAGUGGAGAUGCUUGUAAUAUCCGAUGUUACAGCUUUCGGAAAGGUGUUGUCGAAGUAGAGCAAUGCAGAGAAGUACUAGGGUCUUUUCUCAAUAAAAUCAUCCUAUUGGCUUCCUGCUAUAGCAGAAGCUGAAACUUAAAAUCGGAACCUGCCACUGCGAAAAUCCUAAACAUUUUUGUUGCCAAAGGGCGGCUAACUGUCUGCUUCAGAGUAGAAGCAGUUCUAGAAAGUAGUCCUAAUAGGUACUGAAAACAGGAAUAUAAUUUUUACCCUUCUCUCAGGCGCAUCAAACGACCAUCACUAGAAAGAUUCCUCUCCCGCAGCCACCUCAUGAAUUCGGGAGACUUGUCUUUGUUUUCCGGGUUUAUGUCAACAACGAUAGAUUCAUCGACAUAGGGAGUGACUUUAGCCCCACAACCUGUUUUUACCAAAGCUCGUAAGCCAGAUUGGAAGUCGGAGAUGUAAAAGUCAACCACAUGUCUCUGCCAAAGUUCAAGAUAAACAUAAAAGAGUUACGACCACAAACAAGAAUAUAAUGGCAAAUAAAGGGAAAAUUGCACCAAUAUUUUAGCAUAAUUUUCAUUGGACCCCAACUUUUUUUUUUGUUUUUAAUUGUUACAAUUGUUAGAGAGUUCCGACCUAACCCAACCCCCAUCCGUUCAGUUCCUCCAGCAAAUUGGAUAGAAAUAUUUACAUAAACAUCAUAUAAUAUCGCACAAGUGUCUUUUGGACUUCUCAUAGGGUGAUUAUGUGCUCAUCUCCGUCCAAUUUAGUCCAGGAAUUAAUGAAAAAAGGUAUGAUAACAAUUUUUUCUGCUGGGAACCAGCGGAAACCUCCCAACAACAUUAUAACUCCAUGGUGCAUUUUAUCCUUGAAUAAAUGUAAUGUAGCAUUCGAGCAAACAAUAACAUGAAGGAACUGAUACAAUGAUAACAGAAAUUUAAUUAAAUUUGUGAUUUCUUCAGUCUUGAAUAAAAUGUUACGAGUUUUCUUUUUCUUUUUUUUUUGUUCAAUAAACUAAGGAAAUAAGACAAUAUUUACCUCCAUGGCUCUUAGCCCCCAUGUAAACCGGCUAUGCUUGGGAUUUGAAGGCUUUGAUUUCCAACCCCUGUAUUCAUAUAAGCUUGUAGAAGUAUAAACACAUCUCGGAACCCUUUGAUACGAGGACUCGAGGGGGAAAUUUCCACAUGUAACAACCUGUGAGAAGCUUAACUAUGUCAGCAGUCAGCACCUGCCAACUUGACAGUGGCACCUAAUAUCAUAGGUCAGAAAAAAUCUAGUAAAUAUAGUUCCAAAACCUAAAAGAAAAAGGAAACCGUCAUCCAUAGACUUUCGAUGUAAAAAUAGCAUUUCUAACCCUGUUUCAAGUGAAUUUAAAUGAGAAAGUCAUCCAAAUGAAAAUGGCCAGGCAUCAAGCAACAAAGCAGCAACAAUUCCAAAUGAAAAACUUACCCCGGAAACCUUUACAUACUGCCCGUCUUUUGCAGUUCGAAGCUCAGCAUCAGGGUAGCGAUUAAUAAACCUGAUUGGUGCUUUCCUUCCAGAGCAACUAUUCCAAAUGAAAAGUGCAGAAACUGCCCCAAAUAAGACCACAACAAGAAUAAGAAGAAGCGCAUUGUGAACCGCACCAAGAAUGAACCCUCCGGCAAUGAGCCCCAUCACAAACAGUAGAAUCACCGACCACAGUAUCGGCUUAGGAAAGCUCCUUUUGAAGGAAUAAGUAUCAUCCUGAAUGAGUUUGGUAACGGCCUGGUUAUGCGCCAAAGUGGUAGAAUGGAGCUUCACUGAAUUAGUCGAGUCUAGUGAGCCGGAUACUUUUCGUGGGGCUCCGGAUGAAUUGAGCGAGCCGGAUAAAAUCGGACCGGACGUAAUAAGCCCUGUUGUAGGGAGCACAGGAGGGGCUGCGGCGGAUUGAGGGCCUGACGACCUUUUACUCGAAUCGCCAUGUUUGUUUAAUGGCCCAGAAUUGGUUUUCUGUUUGGAAAGAGAACCAGAAUUGGAAUUAGCAGCGCCGAAUGAUGCAGUUCUUGAAGGAGCACUGCCAAGAGGGCCAGAUUUUCUUGAUUUCUCCGCAUGAAGGUCGAACAUUUUUCCGAGUUCCCCGGAUCUCUUAAUAUCUCCGCCGGUGUACGGCAUGGCUGCUGAGCUCAUUGUCGGAGGCUUCUCCUUGGGCGUCUCGGAGCGGCCCGAGACAUACAGCCCAUUGCUGAGCUGAUGGGACGGGAACCUCGAUCCCAUCGAGCUUGGCUGAUUUGAUCGAAAAGAAAAUGCCGACUGUAAUCAACAGCCUGUUAGGGUUCACCUCUGAUAUCGAAAAGGAUCAUCUUGUGAAUACAGCUCAACUAAACAAUUUUCAGGUCAACUCUUUACGAAAAAAGGAAAAAGAAAAAAUGAAUGUUGAUAUAAAAGCCGAAUAGAUAAUUUGAUCCUUAUGAACAUAUAGAAAUCAGACAAUGCGGAAAGGAGAAAAACUACAUAGACAUACAUAUUCAAACACGGCGAAAACCUUAACUCUAAAAAGAUGACAUAUUUCCCCAGAUUAAAACACGGCGAAAACCUUAAAUAGAAUUUUUAGUUUCGAGGGAGCCUUAGCUGAAAUCAGCAAUUCUCGAACGAAGCACUAGUAUUUAAUUCGGCAAUUGACAAAUUUCCAGGUUAAAAAAAAAAACUUAAACUCUAAAAAGAUGGCAUGGUUUGAAAUCAGUAAUUAUAAAAGUUAGAAAACCUCAGCACAACAGAUCUGACCAAGUUUAUUCGACUUUAGCCGAAAUGCUGUGCAAUUUCUGAGAGCAUGACCUCAACAAUUCUCAAAUUACGGUUCGCGAAACUUCAUCGUAUCGGGAAUUGAAUGACGAACAGGACCUAAAAACAUACAAAUUAAUUGUUAAGGAAAGAUCUUUCUACUACUAACCAAAAUUAGUUCUAAAAUCUACAAUCUCAAACAAGCAACUCCUCCAUCUCCAACACAGCCCAAAAUCUACUCAAAUGUGCAAACGCAUUGUGCCUAAUGUUCUCCACUCCUAGAGCUCCAAAAAACAAAAACCCAAAUCCCAUUUGAGAAAUUGAACCAAACCCACAUUUCCAUUUCUCCAAUUAAACGAAUCCCAAACGACCCAAUUGCCCCCCCCCCCCGCAAAAAAACUCCCCAAAAAGGAGAAAUUAGUGCUUCAUAUUCCUGUUUAGAUCUAAAAAACUGCAAUUGGAGACAAACCCAUAUCCUCAUUACCAUCAAAAAAGAGAACAAUGCAUAGAUCAGAAAACCAACAACUCCAGAUCCCAAAAAAACUUAGAAAAAAAGUACAUAAACAAGGGACAAGCUCAUGUAACAAAGAGAAUGAGGGAGAAAGAGAGAUCUUUCUCUCUCUUCAUACCUUUGGAGCCAGGGAAAAUGAGCUUCAGCUAGAGAGAGAGAGAGAGAGAGAGAGAGAGAUUUGGUUUUUUUUCACUGUACUUUAUGGUGUGUGCUUUGUCUCCUAUAAAAAUUAAAAAGUGAACACUGAGUGGGGAAAGGAAGGAAAAAUGUCUGGUUAGUCCCUGAACUAUCCUCCUAUUGGAACUUGUCUUUGUACCAUUUUUUUUUUUUUUUCACAUUUUUAGGACUUGUUUGUUUGGGUGAAAGUGUUUAGAUGAAAGUGGAGAGUGGUGAAGUUUUUUUCAGCCGUAAUUGAUUACUUUCGUUAUUUAUUUCUUCGUAACAGAGAUAUGGUCUAAACUUGAGUUAUCUGAAACAGCGUAAUUGAUUUUGGUCCGAAGUAAAGAACGGUAAAAAAAUAAUAAUAAUAAAAUAAUAUAAUAAGUAAUGCUAAUUAUAUUUAAAUAUAUUUAAUUAUGGCACUAAUUAUUCUUUUAUUUAGUUUGUAUAUUUAAAAUAUAAUAAAAUUUGAUUAGUUAAGUUUUAUUAUUUUCGUCAUUUAGUUUGUACACGUAAGAUAGGAUGAAAAUUGAUUAAUUAAGUAUUUAUAUAUUUUUUUACUUUAUAAUUGUAUUGUUGUAUUAUUAUAAUUUAUGUAUAAAAAAAUAAUUUUGUUGGUUUAGAUUAAAUUUUUAAUUAUAUAGGAAUAUAAUUAUAUUAUUUUUAUUUAUUAAGUUAUUUAUUAUUUAUACACAAAUUAUAGUUUUAUAUUAUUCGAAUUCCUGCUCCCACACCAGAAUUCUGAAGAAAUUUACUUCCAUAGCUGUUAUAAACAAACAAUAUAAAGAAUAAUAAUUUUACGAAUUAUAUUUAAUUUAAAGUUACUUGCAACCACAAAAUUCUAGUUUUCGUGAACAAACAUAUAACAAAAGUCUAUUUCCAAUCCCGAAGUUACAUAUCUUUUUUUUAUAAAUAACUGAAGUACUAUUAUAUUAAUAAAUGAUUCAACUUGUUUGAAAUUCAAAUCAAUUAUAUCCCUUUUUUUUUUAACAGUAAUAAAUUAAGAUUUUAUAUAUAUAUAUAUAUAUAAAUUUUGAAUACAUGCCAAACUACAUGGGACAUAGUAACAGGAACCAACCAAAUAUAUUAUCAAAAUAAUAAUAAUAAUAAUAAAAAAAAAGGGAAGAGACUAAAGGUGAAGCAACCACCUUUCAACUCCCUCUCUCUCUGACGUAUUAUUAAUAAUUUUUUUACCAAAAUGACCAAAAUCCGCUUACGAGAAUACCCUGACCUAGAAGAAUUAUUUAUAUCUAGAAUUUUCAUCAUAAGGACAUAACUGCUCUAAUUUAUAAGUGCUUUUGCGGAUACUGGUGAGAUAAAAUAUAAUAAAAUUGAGGAUUUUUCUUUAUAUGAAAAGUACGAACAUUUUUCGACAGAUCGUAAGAUAUUUGAUGUUCAAGGGUUACAUAAUUGAAAUAAAAAAGCACAUAAACCGAGUCGCAGAAGUAGGAUUACAUAGGGAAGCAAUGUUAGAACUCUCCAUUUACACUAGUGCCAUCACUGUUUAGAGCCAGUGUGCUUUUAGCUUCAGUUGUUAUAAGAUUUAUCUUCUAUUAAGAACUGUAGCAAAAAGAUUUUCAUCUUAAAUGAAAGAAAGAAGCAGAUUGAUAAAUUACAGUAACAUUUUGUUUGUUUGCUGCAAGAAUUUCUGAUUGUCCCAGUAAGAAAAAUGAACAAAGAAUCUGCAUCAGAUUGCUCUUUUUCUGCAGAAAUGAACAGCAGGAUUAUCUAUCAGGGACUUCAAUUGGACUAGUUUCAGUUCAGUCCAGUUUCAAUUCAAAUAGGGCAUGGUACAUAUAAGUAUAUAUAUACUUAAGAACUGUGAGUUUGGCUACAUCAAUCCAACUCUUAUUUGAUUACUGUCGCGCGUAGGACUAAACCGAACAGCGGUUUCAAAUCAAUAAGAAAUAGCAAAAAUUGAUUAUGAAAAGAAAAAGAAAAAGCAGGUUAAUAGAAAGACUUCAUGAGGAAAUUACUGAGAAGUCUUGGUCUGAACUAAGCUAGACUCGACCGAAACGCGUAUUAAACUGAAUGUGAUGCUUCUUCUGUAUGAAAUGAAUCUUCUCUUGUGAAACAGAUUCAUCAUUGACAUGAAAUUCUCACAACUUUAAUUAACCUCAACUACAUUUCGCAGCUCGACUGUAUCUUAUCUGCGCGAACUCCGCUGCUAAUUUUCUUUAACCUUCUUUGAUUAUUUCGUUUCAGCAAUCUUUCCUUCUAAUGCAUGGUGGUCGAAUUUUUCCUUAUCAUCUGAAAUCAAAUCAUUCUUGGUUCUCUUUAGUUCUUUACUCAUCACUGUUCUCACAUCAGCAUAAAUUAGAUCUACAAAUUUAGAUCAACUACUAUUAAGUUUCAUCCUUGAUAGGUGGUUAGUUAACAUUGGAAAUAAAUUGCCCCUGACAUUUAACUCUUAACUUGGUACCAUUUGCUGUUUUGAUGUUCUCUAAACAUCAAAUUUGCUCUCAAUUUGAACUUUCAUGGGAUUUAUUUGUGAGAACUCUAUAAAACGGCACAUACGAAACUUGGCCUACAUAUGCUGUUUGAAAUUGUUUAUCUGGAAGUAGAUAGGAUUUCUCUUAAACACAUCAAAUUGGCCUCCCAUCUCACUACCAAAUCAAAUUUAAUUCAAUGCCAAUUUAUUUUUAAUAUAAGUUAUAAGUAAAAUGAAUUAUUUGGACUUAAAAGUCAAUUAAAUUCUAUUGAGAGCCUGUUUAGCCCGACUAUGCUUUUUCCGUUAAUUUCCGGUUAAAUAAACACCACUCAGAAAAACGGAAGUAACUUUUGUCACAAACAUCUUUCGGACUACUUCGUGCCGCAAUAUAACCAGAAGUUUCAAAUCAGAAUUUUCUCGACUUUUUACAAACCAAAUUUCUAGUUUCUAAAAUUUCUAUUUUUUUGUCCGAAUUCAAAAGUGUGGUAAAAACGAGACCAAACAAUCAAUGAAAGUAUAAAAUAGCUAGAGUUAAAAAAAAAAAAAGAAAAAAAGAUCCCAAUCUAAUCUAAGGGCUACAAGAGAGAGGAAGAGUACAAAGAAUUCAAAAAGGUCUCCUUUUUUUUUUCCACAGACUUAUAAAUCCCUAACUAUUGAAGGGUCGAAUUCAACAAGAGAUUUGGAUGGUUUCCAAAUAAAGCUUUUAGGGUUCCUCCAAAGAGAGCAGGGGAUCCUCCAAAUAGCAAUUGGGUAAACCCAAAAACGCUUAAUUUCUAUUAAGAAACCCUUAGAUUCUUCACAGGUUUUCUCAUACAGAUCUGUGUGUCGUGUUUUAUAUUGAUUGUGUUGUUAUUGUUGCAAUUUAAUUUUUUUUUUUUAGUUAUUUUAAUGCAAUUUUCAUGAUCUGCUGGUCCUUCUUCUGUUCUUGUGAUUCAUUUUGUUAUGCACCCAUCUAUGUUGGAUUCUAGGGAAUUAGGGUUCUGUGAAGGAGAGCAAUUUACAUUAGGGCUUGUAGUAACUCCCAAGAAUUGCUUGCCGAUUGGGAAUGUGGAAAAGGGAAUCAUAGAGUUGAUUGAAGAACAACAUUUUGUUAUGCCUUGUUAGAGAUAUCUGUUUACUGAGAAAUUGAAAGUAGUUUGAGAGGAGGAAGUGGGGAAUUGGGGUUGAUAAUUUGUGUUUUAAGAUCUUUAUUGAUGUUAGGAAUCAUACAUCAUUGAUGGGUAGGAAUAGGAUUGAUUCCAGGUAGGACGUUCGGUUCUCACGAAAAAGUUCUGAAAAAGGAUUUUCCAUCCGUUUGGUUUCCCAAAAACAUACUUUUUCCUAAAAAAUUUAUCUCCAGAUUCCAUGGAAAAGUCUUCUUUUCAUUUCCAGAUUUUUAAUCCUGUAAACAAAAUCUAUGGAAAGGGUGUUUUCCAUGAAAAACUCGUUUCCUCGAAAUUCGAAAACAGUUUAUGAUUUUCUGAGGAACCAAACACCCCUUUAUUAAUUUUUCUUGAGAAAAGAAUGAAGAAGAAUUGUGGACACAUCAAUUCCCUGGAAGAAUGAGGAAGAGAUUCUCUAGCAGGGGAGAAAAUUGUGACGAAGAAUUGUUGACACUUGUUUCGCUAUUACUAGUUUUGUAAGAUUUUGGUUCAGUUUGGGAUUGUUUUGCUUGCUUCAGUGAUCCUUGUUUUCUUUCUCACUACAUUCCAGGAAAUUAUUCUAGGAAGUACAGUAAGUUGCUUAUAGAGAUGGUGUUAUCUGCAUUUGUAAAUCUUGCAAUGGAAAGCCACUAGAAAUAAGCUUACAAUUUGGCUGGUCACUUAUGAUAAAGUUAAUUGAGAUAUGUGAUGAAUGCAAUUGGAACUAUCUCUGGAUGAGAAAUGCAAACCUUUAGAUGACAAUAGCAUUUCAUUCACUGGCUCAUUUGAUUUAUUGACUAUGAACGAAACAGCAAAGAAUGUCGCCUUCGUAUACAAAAGGAGGAGAGUUACUGAAUGCAGUCAGAAUGACUGCAGGAAAACUGUUUUAUCCCCGGAUGAGGCGUGCAAAUCGUUAGACAUGAAUAGGGUUUCGUUCACAAGCUCGUUUGAUUUAUCGACUAUGAAAAGAACGUCAAAGAAUGUUGGCUUCGUAUACAAAAGGCGGAAACGUAAUGAAUGCAAUUGGAGUGACUGCGGGAAAACUAUUUUUUCGACUAUGACGGAAACAGCAAAGAAUGUUGGCUUUGUAUACAAAAGGCGGAAAUGUAAUGAAUGGAAUAGGAAUGACUGCAGGAAAGCUAGUUUAUCUCUGGAUGAGUCAUGCAAAUCUUUAGAUAAUGUUGGGGUUUCAUUCACAAGCUCAUUUAAUUUACCAAGAAUAAAAAGAACAGCAAAAAAUGUUGGCUUCGUAUACGAGAAGCAGAAAUCGGAUAGGAAAUCGGUUACGUACCUUUCACGAAAUGCAACAGAAAGUUUGAAGCAAAGUGCAAAAUGCAAUAGUGAAUAUUAUAAGGAUGGAAAAACUAUUUUAUCUGAGUGUGAGGACGCAUGCGAAACUUUAACAAAUGUUGGAGUUUCGUUCUCAAAUUCCUCUGAUUUAUCGGCUACAAAAAGCAUGUUCCCAGUCUCUUCACCAAAGAUGUUUAAAUUGGUGUUUAAGAGGACGAAGUUUGAUAGAAACUCUCUUGCAUUCAUUUCAGAAAAUACAACAUACAGAAUUGCUUGUCCAUGUUCCAGCGCAAGUUCUGACGAACAAUCAGUUAUAUUGCCCAUAAAAACAUCUAAUUGUGAUCUUCGUAAACCUGCAUUAAACUCAAUUAUAGAUGAUAGAUGUUCUUCGUCAGUCUCUUGUGUGCCAUCUUUAAUGAAGAAAGAAGAAAAGGGCCGUGAGCACUGUUCUUCUAAGGAUGCUGAUGUGGUAGAACAGUUAAACAAAGUUGCUUCAGUAAAGGAGCUCUGCAUCUCUGUGCUGAAAAGCGAUGGACUCCUUGGAGAUGCGGGGACUAGUAAUGAAGAUGAUCCUAUUGCGGUCCCUUGUGAUCGAGAUGCUAACUGUUCUGAAACAUGCAAAAUUUGUGGGCUUCUGGGAAAUCUAUUGGAGAUGUUAAUUUGUGACAUUUGUGAAGAAGCAUUUCAUCUGCCUUGUUGCAAACCAAAGAUAAAGAAAAUACCGGUCGAUGAGUGGUACUGUCAGACUUGCUUCAGAACAAAACGCAAGUCCUUAUCUGCAGAAUACUCGAGGAACAAAAGUGAACCAUCCAAGAAGAGUAAGAGUCGGUCACCUCGUCUGCGUCAGGAUUGGAUAACUUUGAUGUUGAAAGACACCCAACCAUAUACAACAGGGGUUCCAAUUGGUGAAGAUUUCCAAGCAGACAUUCCGGACUGGUCUGGUCCAAUGUCAGAGUAUGCUCUCUUUACUCCUAUAUGUUCUUGCAAUUCAUUUUAUCUUUGACUGGAAGAUUUUCUCUUUUCUUCCCCCUUUUUUGGAUUAAAUUAGGAAUUGGACAAAGCCUUUUGUGAUCAGGAGCAACAAGCUUUGUUUUCAAAAAAAUAUGUUUGGUAAUUUACGUGGAAAUAAGACACAUAAUUCUUCUUUUCUGACAAAAUUUGUUUUGCAGUGGUCUCCUGUAAAUAUUCAAUAUCAUGAAUAAAAAGCAGAUUUUUGUUAUUUGUUCCUUAAUAUCAUCUCUAUUAUCAUUAUUUCUGCAGCAGCGCCAGUUAUUACGAUUGAACUUCUCAGAUGGAUCCUGCUGAAUUUCAUAAUCUGGAUGUAAGAUUCAUAUCUCUAUUUUUCACCAUUUUUGCAAUUUUUGUGCUGCACAUCGAAUUUUCAUUACUUUAUUAGAAUUAUGGAACCUAGUUGAAAUACUCGAUGCGAUUUUUCAUUGAUAUAGCAUGCAAUGUAUCUUCCAUGUCAAAAUUUUCUUCUGACUCUCUCAUUCUAUAAUAAUGCACUUCCAUAAUACCGCUUUUGUCGUUGAACGGGAAUGUAAAUGAAUUUGCUAAUGCACUCAAUCUACCCCGCUUAGUGUCUCUUAUCUAAACAGAUUACGGUGCUCUUAUCUUAUCUUUACAUUAUUAAUGAUCUUCAUAAUCUUAUUACUGGCACAAGACUUUGUUAUCUAGUACAUAUUCAUAUUUACAUAUGUCGGUAUUAUAUUUCUGCAGCAUAAUUUUGAUUAAUUUCUAUAUGCUUUCCAUUCUUAAUGACCACUUAAUCCAUACAUACAGGUGAAGAAAGGCCAUUUUGAUCCUGAAUGAAGUUGUAGCUGUAUAAUAUGAAAGGGGCCUGAUAACAAAUAUACAUACAUUUCUCUGUAGUUUAGUAUGCAAGGGUUUUUGGCAUUCGAAUUCGUAGAUUUUGUGUAAUAUGAGGUUUGCUGAUACCAAAUUCAUUCUGGAUUAGGCAGAGAGCUGUAUCAUCUAUAUAUAAUUGAUCGUGUUCGAUUCGCUGCCAACGACGGCAUUUCAAGGCCAAUUUUGUUGUGUAGCUCUAUUUAGGGGUAAAAAAAGAAGAAAUGUUUCAAUCGAGUUCAUCAAUAGUAAUUCUGAUUCAGAUUAACUUCCCAUAUGUUUUCGCGGUGCCAGAUUUGGAAUUGUAUUAUCCCUUUUGUAUUCCAGUUGGGUCUGGUGGUAAUGGUUUGUUGAUUUCUUACCCUUCACAGCAUUCGGCGUGCAGCUUCUUCGAAGAUUGGUACAUGUGAUUGAUCAAAAAGAGUAGAACAAGCACAUUCCCUCCUUUCUUUGUGGUUUUUCGCAUCAAAUAGGGGUGCUUCUUCAAGUUUGUAUGGACAAUCACAUUUCCUCGAGUAGCUAACCUCCAUAAUUAUUGAUAAGUUGGACAAAAUAUAGUUCCAACUUACUGAGGCCUAAUUCAGUCAGAAAUGCUUAGUUUUCCGAAUUCCGCUCAGCAGUGAUUUGUAAGGCUUAGUUGAUCCAAAAUCAUUUUCAGGAGAAUAUAAGCAUCGUAUAUUGAAUCAGUUUGAGGCUCAAAUACUCACUCAAUUUAAGCUUAUUUUAAGCAAGAAUACAUAAAUGAUCACUGCCAAUAAAAGAAUAUUGUAAAUCGGACUUACAAAUGUAAUCAAUCAAUUUAGAAACUAGAGCAAAGUGUGCUCACAAUACCUGAAAGUAUUUUCCAUACAAUUUGUUCAAACACAAAAUGUCGCACUUAAGGCAAUGUAGUUAUUCACGACAACAAAACAUCGUCAAGAUGGAAAACCCAGAAACAAGAGACUAAACGUUUAUUCCAACCUUCCAUGCAAACAAGGCAAUGGAAGAACAUUGGUGUAGGUAAAAUAUCUGCCGAAGAAAUGAGAUGCAAGCUUUCAUCACAACCAACCCAGAAAAUGAUCUUCGGUCCUGCAGAAAGGCAAUACAUAUCAAUUAAAAUCAUGCUAAAAUUUCAUUAUUAUAGUACAAACGCUCACCAUUUUAUCGACUCUUUUGUAAUCAUCUUUCAUUAAGAAUCACUUCAACGUUUUCCAUCUGUCUUAACGAAUGGAAAGAACGAAUUGUCCUCGAAGAAGUUCAGAAGCCCAGAGAGACUUAACUUGACAAAACAGAAUCCAUAAAUAAGACUGGCUAAGAUUAACUGCUUUAAGAAAAGAGCAGGAUAACACUGUCAAACAUAUCACAUGGAAGGGGAAAAAAAAACACCGCAAGGGCAAGAGAAUUUAGAUGAAAAACGUGAUGCAUCAUUGUAUGAAUUUGAAUUACACUCGAUUAGAGUGCUGCCACCAUCAUAUAUUUUAAGUGAAUUUCGUAGUAGACACACCUCAAGAAAACAUACUAUAUAUCUCCCCUCAAUUAGUGGAUUAAAGCAAACUUCUAUCACCGGAUGCAAGAUAAUUUGGUCCAGCAAUAUUUGAGAGCAUGCCACACGCAAACUUUUCUCUGAGCCCUAUUUCUCACCAUGGAACCCCUCCACCCUAACCACCUCUAGUAUGCACCGGUUUAAUUAUCUAUGCCUCCAAUCUACUGUGCUUGCCCAAAACUACACUACCCUGAUCAUUUGAAGAGCUAUCAUCACUUCAUUCAUGCCUGUUUAUUUGUUCAAUCAACAAGUAACAUCGAGUUCAACAAGUAACAUCGAGUUAAAGACAAUGUGGCAUAAAAAGGUGAUAUAAAGGCAUUGUCCUCUAAGCACAUCAAGCAGCCAGCAAUUAAAUUGAUACUAGAGAGAAAGCAAAUUUCUUUAUCGACCAAAAGCCUCUGAUCAGACACAUGUCAACAGAUGAAGAAAGAAACAAUCCUAGAUUCCUACUCCUGCACAAGAUGAAUCCAACACCACAAUGUCAUCAAUGAAUGAUAGUAGUUGGUAUAACUAUUCAGAUAUGGUUCAUCUGUUUCGCCAACAAUUAACAGCCGAAAAUUCAAUUUCUGCAUUGACAUAAGCUCCCUGAUUCAAAUACAAGUUGCCAAAAAAAAAAAGCGCUAAACCACCCUGCAUUCCAAUCCCUAUUCAAGGCGGAUCAACACCAGAAGAAACCAUAUUAGUGUUUAAAUCUGGUGGAUCUACCAUCUAUAAAUAGAUAAAAACUCU